GAUGAACGCUGGCGGCGUGCUUAACACAUGCAAGUCGAACGGGAAACCUUUUAUUGAAGCUUCGGCAGAUUUAGCUGGUUUCUAGUGGCGGACGGGUGAGUAACGCGUGGGUAACCUGCCUUAUACAGGGGGAUAACAGUCAGAAAUGGCUGCUAAUACCGCAUAAGCGCACGGAGCUGCAUGGCUCAGUGUGAAAAACUCCGGUGGUAUAAGAUGGACCCGCGUUGGAUUUGCUGGUUGGUGGGGUAACGGCCCACCAAGGCGACGAUCCAUAGCCGGCCUGAGAGGGCGAGCGGCCACAUUGGGACUGAGACACGGCCCAGACUCCUACGGGUGGCAGCAGUGGGGAAUAUUGCACAAUGGGGGAAACCCUGAUGCAGCGACGCCGCGUGAAGGAAGAAGUAUCUCGGUAUGUAAACUUCUAUCAGCAGGGAAGAUAAUGACGGUACCUGACUAAGAAGCCCCGGCUAACUACGUG
This 478-nucleotide ribosomal RNA is filed under the name uncultured bacterium. RNAcentral's name for it is "partial 16S ribosomal RNA". It matches the Rfam family "Bacterial small subunit ribosomal RNA", at positions 28 to 507 of the family's 1533-position model. The record is from RNAcentral.